GUUCCUGUAGCGCAAUGGAUAGUGCGUUGAAUUUCUAAUCCAAAGGUCGUGGUUUCGAAUCCCACUUGGGAUG
RNAcentral lists this transfer RNA (73 nucleotides) under Trichonephila inaurata madagascariensis. It matches the Rfam family "tRNA". Rfam says of the family: Transfer RNA (tRNA) molecules are approximately 80 nucleotides in length. The record is from Rfam by way of RNAcentral. Lineage: Eukaryota; Metazoa; Arthropoda; Arachnida; Araneae; Nephilidae.